Long non-coding RNA from Hyla sarda, 407 nucleotides. RefSeq lists it as uncharacterized. NCBI's taxonomy places the organism in Eukaryota, Metazoa, Chordata, Amphibia, Anura, Hylidae. The record is from RefSeq and is a predicted model, not a curated record. The transcript is spliced from 3 exons.
UAGACCCCACUCCCUGGCACGGCUCAAGUCUCUACCCACACAGGCCCAGAGGAUCCACCACCUGCUGUCCACCUGUUGUGAUUCCUAACAGUAAGAUCCGACCUGUCCUAACACUGAGGCAGCAACCACCAGAGAUCUCAGGCAAGUAAUCAGCAUCUGGAAGGCCCAAAAGCUUCAGUCUCUCCAUUGUACAAUAGUUGGCAUCUUACUUUUCGCUGCAGAUAAAGCGUUGCAGAACAGUUCAUUGCAUCAGGACAGAAUAUCACUUGGUCCUCCAGUCCUCCCUAACAAUCCAUAAUAUUGAGUAACAAUAAAGCUAUUGUUGUGGACCUGAUGAAGGCGUGAGAACACGCCAAAAUACGUUGUCCAGUUGCAACUUUUUAUAUUCCAAUAAAAAGAAUCCUGUG